AGCGAACGCUGGCGGCAGGCUUAACACAUGCAAGUCGAGCGGGCAUCCUUGUGGUGUCAGCGGCAGACGGGUGAGUAACGCGUGGGAACGUGCCCUUCGGUUCGGAAUAACUCAGGGAAACUUGAGCUAAUACCGGUUACGUGCGAGAGCAGAAAGGUUUAUCUGCCGAAGGAUGGGCCCGCGUCUGAUUAGCUAGUUGGUGAGGUUAUGUCUCACCAAGGCGACGUUCAGUAGCUGGUCUGAGAGGAUGAUCAGCCACACUGGGACUGAGACACGGCCCAGACUCCUACAGGAGGCAGCAGUGGGGAAUAUAGGACUAUGGGGGCAACCCUGAUCCAGCCAGGCCGCGUGAGUGAUGACGGCCUUAGGGUUGUAAAGCUCUUUUCUUCGGGACGAUAAUGACGGUACCGGAGGAAUAAGCCCCGGCUAACUUCGUG
RNAcentral lists this ribosomal RNA (437 nucleotides) under uncultured bacterium. RNAcentral describes it as "partial 16S ribosomal RNA". It matches the Rfam family "Bacterial small subunit ribosomal RNA", at positions 29 to 507 of the family's 1533-position model. The record is from RNAcentral.